Lethenteron reissneri (Far Eastern brook lamprey) is the source of this 4696-nucleotide long non-coding RNA. RefSeq lists it as uncharacterized. The record is from RefSeq and is a predicted model, not a curated record. Lineage: Eukaryota; Metazoa; Chordata; Hyperoartia; Petromyzontiformes; Petromyzontidae.
CUCGGCAUCGUCACCAUCCCAUCAUCAUCAGCAGCAGCAUCAUCAUCAGCAGCACCAUCAUCAUCAGCAGCACCAUCAUCAUCAUCAGCAGCAUCAUCAUCAGCAUCAUCAUCAGCACCAUCAUCAUCAUCAGCACCAUCAUCAGCACCAUCAUCAGCAGCAUCAUCAUCAGCACCAUCAUCAUCAUCAGCACCAUCAUCAGCACCAUCAUCAUCAGCAGCACCAUCAUCAGCACCAUCAGCAGCACCGUCACCAUCAGCAGCAUCACCAUCAUCAGCAUCAGCAGCACCAUCAUCAGCAUCAGCAGCACCAUCAUCAGCAUCAUCAGCACUACUGCCAUCAUAAUCACCAAGCACAACGAUCCCCCUCAUAGCCUUCAGUAGACUGUUGGGUCACGCGUUGUUAGCGAGCUGCCCCUGAAGGCCGCUACGGCACGCGGCCGCCUUUGUCUCCCCAAUGACGAUGUUUUUACACAUCGCACCAGGUACUCAUUUGAGGCUGAGUCGGCAUAGGGGAAGCCCAGGACCGGUUCAGAUAAUCGUCACUGGUGUUGACCGUGAGCGGGAAUCUAACUCGGGUCGCUGGGUUCAUAGGGCAGCGCUAACCACUAAACUACGCACGAAAAGUUGAUGGUUAAGUUUAAUUUACUGUACGCAUGUGUAUGAAUGUUGAACUUCUUUCGCACCGUACGUAGCCAACCGUGCUAAUCACCGCCAUCAACACCGUCAUGAACACCAUCAUCACCAUCGCCCGCCACCUCGACCAUGAACACCACCACCGCGACCAUCCGGGACAGACUCUCAACUCGUCAUCAGCCAUGAUCAAUCCACUGCUGGAUGAAGGCCUCCUAAAGCCGUCGCCGUCUCUCACGACCCUGCGAUGUCGUGACGAUCCACCGGUCACCUCGCUCCAUCUCCUCGCGCUCGAUCAACCCUGGCCUGCGACUCCGUCACGAGUCGUGACCGUGUCGCCGCCGACUGCUCUCCACGCUGGGCCGAGUUAAUGAUCGGCUCGCACGCCGCUCCACUGCGGUGUUGUUCAUCUCUCAUGCAGCUCAUGAGGGACGUGACCGCGUGCGGGGGUUGGCGGGACGCGUGAGGACCGGAGCGCUCGCGGAAUCGUCGUGGGCUACUCGGCGGCACCACACAAGACCCCCGUGGCGGCCCACAGCCGCCUCCGUACAGCGCGGCCUCCCUACGUAUUGCAGCAGCAUCGUCGUCGUCGUCGUGGUGCCGUUGUUGUUGUGUUGUUUGUGUUUUCAGUCGAUCUAUUUCACCAGGGCAGAUGUCCCACAAGCCGGAGGCCGCAAGGCAAACACAGGCUGCGAAAUGGCUACACUUGGGCCCCAUCAGAUAAACUAAACUAUGACUUAACAAUUCUUAGUUUCUUACCAGGUAAGGCCCACUGAGAUAUGUAGCUCGUCUUUCGGAAGAGACCUGGCCACAAGUGAUAACGAAGUGGCUUAUCGCGUUGAAAUUUAUAGCGGGAGCCAAAAACUCUAAGCGCACAUUUAUAAAUGUGGGGGGACAAACCGGAGGACCCGGAGAAAAAUCCACGCGACCACGGAGAGAAAGAGACCGCAAACUCCAAAUAUACAGCAGCGGGCGUCAGGGUCGUUCACGAUUCAACGUAGGUUUGUGUAACCAGGUGGCGAGAACUCGAUAAGAGUACAGGACAGGAGUGACCUGUUUUUCUUGUCUAAACAUCAAACUGCAUCGUGCACUUUCAGAUGCGUUUCUGAGGCCGUCUGGAAUGCUCUUCCGAUAUUAGGAAGCCACUGGAGCUGUCCACUUUUAUAUCCAGAUUGAACUCAUUGCUGUAGAACUGCUUUUUGUGUUUAUCUGGUUGUACUUUCCCCACACCUCAGAUUAGCACGUUUGGCUACGUACGGUGUGAAAGAAGUUCGACAUGCGUACAGCCCUGGGUCACCAAACGUUACGGCGGCAAAACAAAGCAGAGCAAUGCGGCAAAAAGAAAUUGGAGUGGAAACAACGGUGUCACCGUGGGAAAUCGACAACAUUGCAAGAAACAUAAAUCUGCGAUAAAUCGAAGUUGAACAUUGAAUUAUAUAGCGGUGCAAGUCGGCUGGGGUAGAUUAGUUACAAAAUUUAUUGACAUAAACAUUAACGUUAAACAGAUACUGUAUACGCUGACUUUUUCACUAAUAUGCAAAUAGGCAAGGAUAUACGAGUCGAAUGCAAACACGAUUGCAUGACUAAGCAGUGCGAACCAUGUUUACAAUUUGCCUCUGAAAAGAAUGUAAGAAUGUAUUUGGUGGGGGGAUGGGUGGGGGGGAGAAGUGGUUGCGGCAGCACAGUGGUUGGCACCGCACGAGGAACCCAGCUCCCCCGAGUUGGACUCCCGGCCGUGGCUAUCGCCCAGCGGCGAGCGAACUCUGAGCCGCCCUGGGGCCCUCCACCGCUGUAGCCAACCACCCACACGCCGACACGGGGCCCUCCACCGCUGUAGCCAACCACCCACACGCCGACACGACGGGGCGGCCAAACCGCUCGCGGUCACAAAAACCUCGGCGUGCAGAGAGGCCUUCGUCCGGCAAUGGAUCGAUCGUGGCCGCCGAUCGUUGAAAGGACGAGCGAACGAGGCGAGGUGGUGGCACACACCGCGGGCUGGCGGAGAGCGCUCGACACGUGUUGGGCAGUAAGUCUGCCCUGGAGGGCAGACUUACUGCCCAACAGUAUUGGGUGGCGUUGCAGGUGGAAGCAACCCUCGGGCAUAGCGGCGAGAACUCGGUCAUGUCAUGUUCAUUUUUGUUGUUCGUGUUCAAAAUCUUCAGGAACACGAUGAGCUGUGAAGCUUUUUUCGUUUGUGCAGGUGUCCAGUCGGUGUUGGUGACUGAUGGCUCGUGUUUCCCGAUUGAUGGUGGUAGUGGUGAUGGUGGUAGUGGUGAUGGUGGUAGUGGUGUUGGUGGCGGUAAUGGUGGUUCAUGGACAACCACCUCUGUCUUGGUUAGUGGAGUGGGGGUGUCCCCCCCCCCACGCCGCCUGCCUGCCCCCCUCGACAGCAACGCAGUAGCUGCUGCUGGGACCGGCCCCCCCAAUUCCCUCUGGACCCCCCAAACCAGUGCCCCCCCCCCCCCCCGCCCAGCGCUCUCUGGCCGUGCUACACGCGCUCUCCACCGGCAGGUCUUUACGUCGCUUCUCUCGAGAGCCUAAAGCUGCCAGUUGAAGAGCUGAGGUCGCCGGCCUCUCUCUGCACGCGGGGUGGGUGGGGGGUGGUGAAGACGACGACGACGACGAGGAGUGCGGUGGAUACAAGAUCGAUGUCGCGAUGUUUGUGUGCGUCGGUGUCAUUUUGUUCGUUUACCCCGGCAAAGCCAGAGGCUCGAGACGUGUUGGGCAGGGGGGGGGGGUCCUGCCAUGCGUUGGCAGUAGGAGGGGGGGUGAUGGGCGAUGCUGCUGUAGUUGGUGUGUGAUCCCCGUGGAGUUGAUCUGCAGGCGACUGUUCAGCAUCGGGGUGUCUUAGCCAAUGCAAAGUGACGUUACAUGGAGGAAACGCAUGCAGAUCAGGGGGAGUACAUACAGACAACACACAACAUACACACUACACACAGAACAUACAGACAACACACAACACACACACCACACACAACAUACAGACAACACACACACCACACACAACAUACAGACAACACACAGAACACACAACACCACGACAUACAACACACAACAUACAACAUACAGAACAUACACACAACAUACAGAACAUACACACAACAUACACACAACACACAACAUACAGACAACACACAGAACAUACACAACAUACACACAACAUACACACAACACACAACAUACAGACAACACACAGACAACACACAGAGAGGCACCCGAGUCGGGAAGCGACCGGGCGUCACCACUGGACCACGCCGCGCGCCCGGCCGCCUUUGUAUCCCCAGUGCCGAUGUUCACCCACGCACCAGGACCUAGCGGGGAGGGGUGGCUUCGGACCAGCUCAGAUUUGACGCGUGGCCUGGAAGCAAACCCGGAUCGCCGGGUGUGUGGAGAGGUGUGCACACAAAGACAAAGACCCCUCCUAUAGCCUCUAACAGACUGUUGGGGCAAGUGCUGUUCACGAGCAGCGCCUAUGAAGGCCGGCACUGCGGCACACGAGGGAGUGGUGGGUGGCCAGCACCACGCCCGGCAGCCUUUGCCUUCCCCAAUGCCGAUGUUUACACAACGCACUCAUUUGAGGCUGAGUCGACCUAGGGAAGGAACAGAACCGGUUCAGAUAAUCGUUACCACUGGCGUUGGUGGCGGUGAGCUGGAAUCGAACUUCGGAUGGUCGGGUUCGCAGCGCAGCGCUAACCGCUACACUACCGCACCCCAGACACACGCACGCACACGUGUGCGCAAUACUGUAGUUGUACCGAGUUUAAUUGCUGUAUUACCACUGAAAGUUCGCGUUCAAACAAUGACGUUAUUGAAUAUGUAUUGCAGGUUGCUUAAGCGGCUGAGUGUAAAGUUGUGAAACAAUACGAACGUGUGUAUUACAUUACGUAUAGUGGUGAUUAUGAAGCGUAUGCAAAUGUUAUGUUAGCGCUCACCUGUGAUAUUGUGAUGUUAAUGCUCCGUCGUUGUACAAUUUGUCUGUGCGUGGGUCCCAGGUCUCCCUUGCCCGAGAGGGACUUGCGGCCUCAUGGGGACUCGUGAUAAAUAAAUAAAUACCGCCCCCACUA